Carlito syrichta (Philippine tarsier) is the source of this 753-nucleotide long non-coding RNA. RefSeq lists it as uncharacterized. Lineage: Eukaryota; Metazoa; Chordata; Mammalia; Primates; Tarsiidae. The record is from RefSeq and is a predicted model, not a curated record. The transcript is spliced from 4 exons.
CUGCAGGACUCUCACUCAACUCGUUGGGAUCCUUGCUCAUUCCAGAACCUGUUGGGGUGAUCAGGCUUGUUUAGUCUUAAUGGACACCCUGUGUGAGCCUGCCUUUCUCUGUGGGGGAUGGAGGUCGACUCCACCUGUGGACGACACAGCGACGGUGGCUGCACUUCCUUUUCGUCCUUGCCUGUGUUGUGACAUCGUCACACCUUUCUUAUCCAAGAACAAAGGGACUGUUCAUAUAAAAAAUCAUGGGGGUUGGUUUAUCAGCUCCAUUUUGGAAACGUGAGAGAGGAAGGCCAUCAGCUCGAGGAAGGGUGGGGAGACGGACCGAGAAGAAGGCAUGAAAUUGUUUCCGAGUGUGAGCCGGUGAACGGACUAGAGAGUUUCAUUGCCAAGCAGCAUCAGGGGUCCGAAUGAGGUUGACAGCCUUCUCUAAAGUAGCUCAGCAUUACUUCCACGCUAAAAUCAAGAGGUGGCUGGUCUUCAAGGCGUCUCCUACUCCUGUUGUUCUGAUGACAUUGUGAAGAAUGAAGCUGAACCUCAGUGAUCUGAUGCAGCCAUCAAAUUAGCAACAUGAAACCACUGUGGCCCGAACAUUCUUGUUUAAAUGGUUGCAUCUCUUUGCUUGCAUGCCCGAUCCCCUUUCUGUUAAAACUCAUGCAUGUAUGAGUUUUUCAGCUUUUGGGUAGUAAUGGUCACUUUGUCUUCCUAGCACUUUCAAUUUAACAAUAAAGAUGAUUUAAUUUUGCAUUUGGC